UGAUGGGUAGCCGGGUUGAGAGACCGACCGGCCAGAUUGGGACUGAGACACGGCCCAGACUCCUACGGGAGGCAGCAGUGGGGAAUCUUGCACAAUGGGCGAAAGCCUGAUGCAGCGACGCCGCGUGCGGGAUGAAGGCCUCGGGUUGUAAACCGCUUUCAGCAGGGACGAGGCCGCAAGGUGACGGUACCUGCAGAAGAAGCCCCGGCUAACUACGUGCCAGCAGCCGCGGUAAAU
Molecule: ribosomal RNA, 237 nt
Filed under: uncultured Atopobium sp.
Lineage: Bacteria; Bacillati; Actinomycetota; Coriobacteriia; Coriobacteriales; Atopobiaceae
Description: partial 16S ribosomal RNA
Rfam family: Bacterial small subunit ribosomal RNA
Source: RNAcentral